AGCGUAAUAGAUCAAUGUUCUUGGGGAGAGAAGAAAUGGGGUUGGGGAGUUUAACAAGCUGAGUACAAGCUGGACAGCGGAUUGUACCUGGAAAGGGGUUUUGUAUCUGUGACAAGCAGUCUUCACAGGCGGAGUGGCCGCAGGGGAGGACUCGCGGGAUGGUUGAGACGUCACCGUAUUGUUGGAGACAAACUGGACAUUCCGGUAGCUCCAGCUCCAGAGUUGACUCUGCCGCCAUUUUAGUGGACAGAAAACGAAAUGAUCAAG
RNAcentral lists this unclassified non-coding RNA (267 nucleotides) under Hevea brasiliensis (rubber tree). Lineage: Eukaryota; Viridiplantae; Streptophyta; Magnoliopsida; Malpighiales; Euphorbiaceae. The record is from RNAcentral.